CGAAUUUCUGGUACGCAGACUGUUAAACAGAGUCAAUAUUUUCCUCGAUUCGGGAUUCAACCGGUGACUUGGGACACCAUAAAUCUCCCAAGUGGCGACUCUGAAAUAAAUAAAUAAAUCCCGUUUCGAUUGUCCUUUAAUUGAAAAAACUCUCUUUUACGCCCCUUUGCGGGGUGUAGGCAAAAAAGGAGGUGUGACAGCUAAUUCUUACUAAAAGAUAGUGCUUUAUGAAAAUUUCUCUCCUUAUAAUUUUAUCACAAUCCGACAACCUCAAAUCAAAUGAAACGUUAACAGAGGAUAAUUUCAAAAACCCAUUUCAGUUAAGGUCUUAAGUCAAUUCAACCAAUCCAUAGAAAAACACAUCAUGAACAAAGUCUCAUACGCAAUAUUAAGUGAAAGGGGCAAGAAAUGGACCUUUGUGAGCAAAUCUUUUCAAUUUAACAGUCUCCAGCCAAAACUUGUACAAUCGCCACGGGUGAAUUGUAAAAUAAAGUCACUGACCAAAUUUGAACCCAAAAAUUGACUCAAGAUGGAAAUCGCGCACGGCCUCAACGAACCUCGACCACAAACCGAUGAGAUAACUCUUAGUUAAGCAGGAAUUAAUUUUAAUACUCGACAGACCAUGGACAAGACCUUAACCGAAGCUCCGACACAUUCGACCUCGUCGGAAAUUCGAGACUAGUCGGAAAGACAAACUUCGAACCCCAAACUUUAAAAGCCUCACUUCGACUCCAUUGUGGGGUGAUGCUCGAUUUUUGUGGGUGGCGGGACGUUAGAGUUUAGGUGUUUGACUGGAGUUUUUUCGCUGGUUUUGAUUGAUUUUUGGAUAUGGUUUCACUGCUGAUUUUUGAUGGAAAAAGUGGCGUGUUUGGUGUUGAACUCGACUGAAAAAGGAAGAUGCUACAUGGCUUUGUUUUGGGGCUGGUUGAGGUCGCUUUUGAGCUUGAUUUGGGGUGUUUUUCAGCUCGUUUUUUGUGAUGACCAAUAGGUCAUCUAGAGCUUUAACCCUUAAUUUUGUGUUUUGAAACCUCAAAAAGAUCCUUUUAGCUAUCC
This 1053-nucleotide long non-coding RNA is filed under the name Nicotiana tabacum (common tobacco). RNAcentral describes it as "long non-coding RNA (NTAB_LNC008549)". The record is from RNAcentral. Lineage: Eukaryota; Viridiplantae; Streptophyta; Magnoliopsida; Solanales; Solanaceae.